UACGUAGGGGGCGAGCGUUGUCCGGAUUCAUUGGGCGUAAAGGGUGUGUAGGUGGCGCCGUAAGUCGGGUGUGAAAUUUCGGAGCUUAACUCCGAAACUGCAUUCGAUACUGCGGUGCUUGAGGACUGGAGAGGAGACUGGAAUUCAUGGUGUAGCAGUGAAAUGCGUAGAGAUCAUGAGGAAGACCAGUGGCGAAGGCGGGUCUCUGGACAGUUCCUGACACUGAGACACGAAGGCCAGGGGAGCAAACGGG
Molecule: ribosomal RNA, 253 nt
Filed under: uncultured bacterium
Lineage: Bacteria
Description: partial 16S ribosomal RNA
Rfam family: Bacterial small subunit ribosomal RNA
Source: RNAcentral